CGGCGAGUGAACAGGGAGAAGCCCAGCACCGAAGCCUGUGGUCGUUUGAUCACAAGGCAAUGUGGUGUUCAGGUUGUUCCGCAAAGACGCUGCUCCACCCUAAGUCCAUCAAUGAGUACGGUAUUAUGGACCUGGCCCACGGAGGGUGAAAGGCCCGUGUGGGUGGAGACCAGUUUGGCCAGUGUCUUUCUGGAUAGACCUUGGAGUCGGGUUGUUUGUGAAUGCAGCCCAAAGUGGGUGGUAAACUCCAUCCAAGGCUAAAUACAAGCACGAGUCCGAUAGCGAACAAGUACCGUGAGGGAAAGUUGAAAAGUACUCUGAAGAGAGAGUAAACAGUGCGUGAAGCCGGUCAGAGGUAAACGGGUGGAGUUGAACUGCAAGCUCUGAGAAUUCAGCUGGUGAGUGUGGUUUGAGCUUGGUCAAGUCGGUUGGACCGCGGAGUCUGCGUAGCAGCAGGCCUUUGUCCUUCUGGGCAUUGGUGCGCGAUGCACUUAUCAAGUGUUGUGCGCUUCGUGUGUUCUUCGGGCCGACUCGCCAGUGCACUUUUUCAGAGUGGUCACCACGACCGGCACUGCUGUUUGGCUGGUGCGGUUAAACCGGUCUUGCAUAGCCCUCGUGGCUUUGCUUGGUCGGGAUGGCAGGUAGCUCGUUGGCUGGUUUGUGGUACGCCACAAGCGUUGGUUUUCGAGUGUAAUCAGCCGACCGUGUUGGUUCUAUGCAGCGUGUCGGAGACGGCGGCUUUUGUGUGUGCGUGCGUGCCAUGUUGGCCGGCGUGUUCGAGUUCUGGUUGUUACGUAGCCUGUGUAGGCAGGCCUGAUGAUGGCUCGGAUUCGUUCGGUUGGCGGUUGCGUGCGUGAUACGUUUCAUGGGCCGAUAGUCUGUGGUGUAGUGGUAGACGAUCCACCUGACCCGUCUUGAAACACGGACCAAGGAGAGUAACAUGCGCGCGAGUCAUUGGGCAUUACGAAACCCAUAGGCGCAGUGAAAGUAAAGGUUUGGCUUGUCCAGACUAAGGUGAGAUCCCGUCGUUUCUCAUGCGCGGUAUUACCAAGCUUCGAGCGGCAGGCGCAUCACCGGCCCGUCCUAUGACAAUUGCUUCGGCAUUACCCAGUCGGGGCGGAGCAUGAGCGUGCAUGUUGAGACCCGAAAGAUGGUGAACUAUGCUUGUGCAGGUUGAAGCCAGAGGAAACUCUGGUGGAGGACCGAAGCGGUUCUGACGUGCAAAUCGAUCGCCAGACGUGAGUAUAGGGGCGAAAGACUAAUCGAACUAUCUAGUAGCUGGUUCCCUCCGAAGUUUCCCUCAGGAUAGCUGGCAUU
This 1317-nucleotide ribosomal RNA is filed under the name Microphallus sp. NZ. RNAcentral describes it as "eukaryotic LSU rRNA". It matches the Rfam family "Eukaryotic large subunit ribosomal RNA", at positions 87 to 989 of the family's 3401-position model. Lineage: Eukaryota; Metazoa; Platyhelminthes; Trematoda; Plagiorchiida; Microphallidae. The record is from RNAcentral.